GGAAAGGCCCUUCGGGGUACUCGAGUGGCGAACGGGUGAGUAACACGUGGGUGAUCUGCCCUGCACUUUGGGAUAAGCCUGGGAAACUGGGUCUAAUACCGAAUAUACCCUGCUGGUUGCAUGACUUGGUGGGGGAAAGCUUUUGCGGUGUGGGAUGGGCCCGCGGCCUAUCAGCUUGUUGGUGAGGUUACGGCUCACCAAGGCGACGACGGGUAGCCGGCCUGAGAGGGUGUCCGGCCACACUGGGACUGAGAUACGGCCCAGACUCCUACGGGAGGCAGCAGUGGGGAAUAUUGCACAAUGGGCGCAAGCCUGAUGCAGCGACGCCGCGUGGGGGAUGACGGCCUUCGGGUUGUAAACCUCUUUCAGUAGGGACGAAGCGCAAGUGACGGUACCUACAGAAGAAGCACCGGCCAACUACGUGCCAGCAGCCGCGGUAAUACGUAGGGUGCGAGCGUUGUCCGGAAUUACUGGGCGUAAAGAGCUCGUAGGUGGUUUGUCGCGUUGUUCGUGAAAACCGGGGGCUUAACCCUCGGCGUGCGGGCGAUACGGGCAGACUUGAGUACUGCAGGGGAGACUG
This 580-nucleotide ribosomal RNA is filed under the name Mycolicibacterium monacense. Its description in RNAcentral is "bacterial SSU rRNA". It matches the Rfam family "Bacterial small subunit ribosomal RNA", at positions 68 to 663 of the family's 1533-position model. Lineage: Bacteria; Bacillati; Actinomycetota; Actinomycetes; Mycobacteriales; Mycobacteriaceae. The record is from RNAcentral.